This 504-nucleotide ribosomal RNA is filed under the name uncultured bacterium. RNAcentral's name for it is "bacterial SSU rRNA". It matches the Rfam family "Bacterial small subunit ribosomal RNA", at positions 355 to 874 of the family's 1533-position model. The record is from RNAcentral.
UGGGGAAUCUUGGACAAUGGGGGCAACCCUGAUCCAGCCAUGCCGCGUGAGUGAUGAAGGCCUUAGGGUCGUAAAGCUCUUUCGCCUGUGAAGAUAAUGACGGUAGCAGGUAAAGAAACCCCGGCUAACUCCGUGCCAGCAGCCGCGGUAAUACGGAGGGGGUUAGCGUUGUUCGGAAUUACUGGGCGUAAAGCGCACGUAGGCGGACCAGAAAGUUGGGGGUGAAAUCCCGGGGGCUCAACCCCGGAACUGCCUCCAAAACUAUUGGUCUAGAGUUCGAGAGAGGUGAGUGGAAUUCCAAGUGUAGAGGUGAAAUUCGUAGAUAUUUGGAGGAACACCAGUGGCGAAGGCGGCUCACUGGCUCGAUACUGACGCUGAGGUGCGAAAGUGUGGGGAGCAAACAGGAUUAGAUACCCUGGGUAGUCCACACCGUAAAACGAUGAAUGCCAGUCGUCGGGUAGCAUGCUAUUCGGUGACACACCUAACGGAUUAAGCAUUCCGCCU